RNAcentral lists this ribosomal RNA (774 nucleotides) under Salmonella enterica subsp. enterica serovar Paratyphi C. RNAcentral's name for it is "partial 16S ribosomal RNA". It matches the Rfam family "Bacterial small subunit ribosomal RNA", at positions 1 to 764 of the family's 1533-position model. RNAcentral also lists the same sequence under 1 other name. Lineage: Bacteria; Pseudomonadati; Pseudomonadota; Gammaproteobacteria; Enterobacterales; Enterobacteriaceae. The record is from RNAcentral.
AAAUUGAAGAGUUUGAUCAUGGCUCAGAUUGAACGCUGGCGGCAGGCCUAACACAUGCAAGUCGAACGGUAACAGGAAGCAGCUUGCUGCUUCGCUGACGAGUGGCGGACGGGUGAGUAAUGUCUGGGAAACUGCCUGAUGGAGGGGGAUAACUACUGGAAACGGUGGCUAAUACCGCAUAACGUCGCAAGACCAAAGAGGGGGACCUUCGGGCCUCUUGCCAUCAGAUGUGCCCAGAUGGGAUUAGCUUGUUGGUGAGGUAACGGCUCACCAAGGCGACGAUCCCUAGCUGGUCUGAGAGGAUGACCAGCCACACUGGAACUGAGACACGGUCCAGACUCCUACGGGAGGCAGCAGUGGGGAAUAUUGCACAAUGGGCGCAAGCCUGAUGCAGCCAUGCCGCGUGUAUGAAGAAGGCCUUCGGGUUGUAAAGUACUUUCAGCGGGGAGGAAGGUGUUGUGGUUAAUAACCGCAGCAAUUGACGUUACCCGCAGAAGAAGCACCGGCUAACUCCGUGCCAGCAGCCGCGGUAAUACGGAGGGUGCAAGCGUUAAUCGGAAUUACUGGGCGUAAAGCGCACGCAGGCGGUCUGUCAAGUCGGAUGUGAAAUCCCCGGGCUCAACCUGGGAACUGCAUUCGAAACUGGCAGGCUUGAGUCUUGUAGAGGGGGGUAGAAUUCCAGGUGUAGCGGUGAAAUGCGUAGAGAUCUGGAGGAAUACCGGUGGCGAAGGCGGCCCCCUGGACAAAGACUGACGCUCAGGUGCGAAAGCGUGG